This 352-nucleotide unclassified non-coding RNA is filed under the name soil metagenome. Its description in RNAcentral is "partial contains 5.8S ribosomal RNA, internal transcribed spacer 2, and large subunit ribosomal RNA". The stretch from base 1 to 120 matches the Rfam family "5.8S ribosomal RNA", at positions 35 to 154 of the family's 154-position model. The record is from RNAcentral.
GAUGAAGAACGUAGCGAAAUGUGAUAAGUAAUGUGAAUUGCAGAAUUCAGUGAAUCAUCGAAUCUUUGAACGCACAUUGCGCCCGCCAGUAUUCUGGCGGGCAUGCCUGUUCGAGCGUCAUUACAACCCUCAGGCCCCCGGGCCUGGCGUUGGGGAUCGGCGGAGCCCCCCGUGGGCACACGCCGUCCCCCAAAUACAGUGGCGGUCCCGCCGCAGCUUCCAUCGCGUAGUAGCUAACACCUCGCGACUGGAGAGCGGCGCGGCCACGCCGUAAAACACCCAACUCUUCUGAAGUUGACCUCGAAUCAGGGAGGAAUACCCGCUGAACUUAAGCAUAUCAAUAAGCGGAGGA